Molecule: non-coding RNA, 23 nt
Filed under: Cricetulus griseus (Chinese hamster)
Lineage: Eukaryota; Metazoa; Chordata; Mammalia; Rodentia; Cricetidae
Source: RNAcentral
UCUGAGCUGAAGAAUCAAAAAAA